This 209-nucleotide ribosomal RNA is filed under the name uncultured bacterium. RNAcentral describes it as "partial 16S ribosomal RNA". It matches the Rfam family "Bacterial small subunit ribosomal RNA", at positions 568 to 774 of the family's 1533-position model. The record is from RNAcentral.
CGCGUAGGCGGGCUAGCAAGUCUGGGGUGAAAUCUUUCGGCUUAACCGGAAAAGUGCCUUGGAUACUGCUAGUCUCGAGUGAGGUAGGGGCAGGGGGAACUUCUGGUGGAGCGGUGAAAUGCGUUGAUAUCAGAAGGAACGCCGGUGGCGAAAGCGCCCUGCUGGACCUCUUCUGACGCUGAGGCGCGAAGGCUAGGGUAAGGCAAACG